AAUAGAUACCCCGGUAGUCCACGCCGUAAACGAUGAGUGCUAAGUGUUGGGGGGUUUCCGCCCCUCAGUGCUGCAGCUAACGCAUUAAGCACUCCGCCUGGGGAGUACGGUCGCAAGACUGAAACUCAAAGGAAUUGACGGGGGCCCGCACAAGCGGUGGAGCAUGUGGUUUAAUUCGGAGCAACGCGAAGAACCUUACCAGGUCUUGACAUCCCGGUGACCACUAUGGAGACAUAGUUUCCCCUUCGGGGGCAACGGUGACAGGUGGUGCAUGGUUGUCGUCAGCUCGUGUCGUGAGAUGUUGGGUUAAGUCCCGCAACGAGCGCAACCCUUAUUCUUAGUUGCCAUCAUUCAGUUGGGCACUCUAAGGAGACUGCCGGUGAUAAACCGGAGGAAGGUGGGGAUGACGUCAAAUCAUCAUGCCCCUUAUGACCUGGGCUACACACGUGCUACAAUGGACGGUACAAACGGUUGCCAACCCGCGAGGGGGAGCUAAUCCGAUAAAACCGUUCUCAGUUCGGAUUGUAGGCUGCAACUCGCCUACA
RNAcentral lists this ribosomal RNA (545 nucleotides) under uncultured bacterium. RNAcentral's name for it is "bacterial SSU rRNA". It matches the Rfam family "Bacterial small subunit ribosomal RNA", at positions 777 to 1320 of the family's 1533-position model. The record is from RNAcentral.